AUUACUCCUACGGGAGGCAGCAGUGGGGAAUAUUGGACAAUGGGCGAAAGCCUGAUCCAGCCAUGCCGCGUGAGUGAUGAAGGCCCUAGGGUUGUAAAGCUCUUUCACCGGUGAAGAUAAUGACGGUAACCGGAGAAGAAGCCCCGGCUAACUUCGUGCCAGCAGCCGCGGUAAUAAU
Molecule: ribosomal RNA, 178 nt
Filed under: uncultured bacterium
Lineage: Bacteria
Description: partial 16S ribosomal RNA
Rfam family: Bacterial small subunit ribosomal RNA
Source: RNAcentral